CUUUACUGUAGCCUGGUAUUGGGUUCGGGCUUUGACUGCGCAGGAUAGGUGGGAGACUGAGAAGUGUGCCUUGUGGGGCACCUAGAGUCAACGGUGAGAUACCAUUCUGUCAGAGCUAGAAUUCUAACCUUCACCCGUGAUCCGGGGAAGGAACCGUAUCAGGUGGGCAGUUUGACUGGGGCGGUCGCCUCCUAAAAGGUAACGGAGGCGCGCAAAGGUGUUCUCAGGCUGGUCGGAAAUCAGCCGUAGAGUGUAAAGGCAGAAGAACGCUUGACUGUGAGAGUGACAACUCAAGCAGGGUGGAAACACGGCCUUAGUGAUCCGACGGUAUGCGCGUGGAAGUGCCGUCGCUCAACGGAUAAAAGUUA
Molecule: ribosomal RNA, 368 nt
Filed under: uncultured organism
Description: bacterial LSU rRNA
Rfam family: Bacterial large subunit ribosomal RNA
Source: RNAcentral